Molecule: ribosomal RNA, 497 nt
Filed under: uncultured bacterium
Lineage: Bacteria
Description: partial 16S ribosomal RNA
Rfam family: Bacterial small subunit ribosomal RNA
Source: RNAcentral
GAUGAACGCUGGCGGCGUGCCUAAUACAUGCAAGUCGAGCGAACAGACGAGGAGCUUGCUCCUCUGACGUUAGCGGCGGACGGGUGAGUAACACGUGGAUCACCUACCUAUAAGACUGGGAUAACUUCGGGAAACCGGAGCUAAUACCGGAUAAUAUAUUGAACCGCAUGGUUCAAUAGUGAAAGACGGCUUUGCUGUCACUUAUAGAUGGAUCCGCGCCGCAUUAUCUAGUUGGUAAGGUAACGGCUUACCAAGGCGACGAUGCGUAGCCGACCUGAGAGGGUGAUCGGCCACACUGGAACUGAGACACGGUCCAGACUCCUACGGGAGGCAGCAGUAGGGAAUCUUCCGCAAUGGGCGAAAGCCUGACGGAGCAACGCCGCGUGAGUGAUGAAGGUCUUCGGAUCGUAAAACUCUGUUGUUAGGGAAGAACAAAUGUGUAAGUAACUAUGCACGUCUUGACGGUACCUAAUCAGAAAGCCACGGCUAACUACGUG